Molecule: transfer RNA, 84 nt
Filed under: Bacteroidales bacterium
Lineage: Bacteria; Pseudomonadati; Bacteroidota; Bacteroidia; Bacteroidales
Also listed under: 1 other name
Description: tRNA-Leu
Rfam family: tRNA
About the family: Transfer RNA (tRNA) molecules are approximately 80 nucleotides in length. Their secondary structure includes four short double-helical elements and three loops (D, anti-codon, and T loops).
Source: RNAcentral
GCCCAAGUGGCGGAAUUGGUAGACGCGCUAGUUUCAGGGACUAGUGACCGUAUGGUCGUGUAGGUUCAAGUCCUAUCUUGGGUA